GAUCUUCAGUAGAUUGCAUCUUUUCAGUAGAGUGUUCGAUCAUCCAGCGAAAAAGUGCGUUUUGUCUUUGUUAAUAAUGGUAUGAAUAUCGUGCAUUCUUGUGCCAGUAUUUCUAUUUAUCUGGCACAAGUUUAUCCAGCCGCUAGUCGACAGAUGGUAUGGAAAACCGAAACUCGAAAGUGGCAAAACCGAGGAGGAACUGACUUCAGACCCUGAUGGCUCGCUUCCCAAUGGUGGUGUAAAAGCUGAUGUUUCACCUUCUAAAGAAGUGACUGCUGAUGGCCGUGUAAAGUCUGAAUAGAAUCUUACACAAUCCAGUUGAACCUACAUAAAUUUGUCACCUGUCCAGUUGGGACAACUAUGUGAAGCAAGGAUCAUGAAGACUUUUGAUAAAAUCCUAUGUUGUGGGACAUUCAUAAGUUGGAGGCAAUAAAACUUUGCUUUACAAAGAAAACAUUGAACAUGGAAAUUUUUUUCUCGGUAGUUCUCUAGGCCAGUAAUGAUGUACUAUAAUGUUUGAAUUAACACCAAUGCAGUGUACACCAUCCUUUAUAUUUGGUUAAAAUCUAUAAUUAUUCAAAAUAUGAAAAUUGUAAACUGUGAAUUGAAAUAACAAUAACAUCUGAACUGCACAGAACUGUUAAUCAUUUA
Molecule: long non-coding RNA, 651 nt
Organism: Stylophora pistillata
Lineage: Eukaryota; Metazoa; Cnidaria; Anthozoa; Scleractinia; Pocilloporidae
Source: RefSeq, a predicted model, not a curated record